This 832-nucleotide ribosomal RNA is filed under the name uncultured bacterium. Its description in RNAcentral is "bacterial SSU rRNA". It matches the Rfam family "Bacterial small subunit ribosomal RNA", at positions 8 to 829 of the family's 1533-position model. The record is from RNAcentral.
AGAGUUUGAUCAUGGCUCAGAUUGAACGCUGGCGGCAGGCCUAACACAUGCAAGUCGAACGGUAACAGGAAGAAGCUUGCUUCUUUGCUGACGAGUGGCGGACGGGUGAGUAAUAUCUGGGAAACUGCCUGAUGGAGGGGGAUAACUACUGGAAACGGUAGCUAAUACCGCAUAACGUCGCAAGACCAAAGAGGGGGACCUUCGGGCCUCUUGCCAUCGGAUGUGCCCAGAUGGGAUUAGCUAGUAGGUGGGGUAACGGCUCACCUAGGCGACGAUCCCUAGCUGGUCUGAGAGGAUGACCAGCCACACUGGAACUGAGACACGGUCCAGACUCCUACGGGAGGCAGCAGUGGGGAAUAUUGCACAAUGGGCGCAAGCCUGAUGCAGCCAUGCCGCGUGUAUGAAGAAGGCCUUCGGAUUGUAAAGUACUUUCAGCGGGGAGGAAGGGAGUAAAGUUAAUACCUUUGCUCAUUGACGUUACCCGCAGAAGAAGCACCGGCUAACUCCGUGCCAGCAGCCGCGGUAAUACGGGGGGUGCAAGCGUUAAUCGGAAUUACUGGGCGUAAAGCGCACGCAGGCGGUUUGUUAAGUCAGAUGUGAAAUCCCCGGGCUCAACCUGGGAACUGCAUCUGAUACUGGCAAGCUUGAGUCUCGUAGAGGGGGGUAGAAUUCCAGGUGUAGCGGUGAAAUGCGUAGAGAUCUGGAGGAAUACCGGUGGCGAAGGCGGCCCCCUGGACGAAGACUGACGCUCAGGUGCGAAAGCGUGGGGAGCAAACAGGAUUAGAUACCCUGGUAGUCCACGCCGUAAACGAUGUCGACUUGGAGGUUGUGC